CUCAAAACCCACCCACAGCUCCGACUUAAUCUUCUGCAAUCCUAUGUUCUCUAAACAAAUGGAUGUAUAGCAAGUUAGCAACGUGUGCAUGACAGUAACUUUUAGAAUGGAAAAACGUUUUAGCACAAUUUCAGCAGCAACGGCAUGUUAAAAAAUCUAAGCAUGUGUGUGGUCUUGACUUUUCUUCAAUUUCUAUGGCUGUCGGUAAUCUUUCCAGUUUGUAUAUGUUGCUUCGAGCACAGCAGAACUCAUAUAGAUUUCUGCAAACUCCUUUACUGAAUGGAUACACCCGCUCAGGAAUUCCCCUUAAAUAUG
Molecule: unclassified non-coding RNA, 315 nt
Filed under: Hevea brasiliensis (rubber tree)
Lineage: Eukaryota; Viridiplantae; Streptophyta; Magnoliopsida; Malpighiales; Euphorbiaceae
Source: RNAcentral